Molecule: ribosomal RNA, 253 nt
Filed under: uncultured bacterium
Lineage: Bacteria
Description: partial 16S ribosomal RNA
Rfam family: Bacterial small subunit ribosomal RNA
Source: RNAcentral
UACGAGAGGCCCAAACGUUAUUCGGAAUUACUGGGCUUAAAGAGUUCGUAGGCGGCAUAGUAAGUAGGGUGUGAAAGCCCUCGGCUCAACCGAGGAAUUGCGCUCUAAACUACUGUGCUUGAGGAAGCUAGAGGUGAGCGGAACUGAUGGUGGAGCGGUGAAAUGCGUUGAUAUCAUCAGGAACACCGGAGGCGAAGGCGGCUCACUGGGGCUUUUCUGACGCUGAGGAACGAAAGCCAGGGUAGCGAACGGG